Molecule: long non-coding RNA, 2351 nt
Organism: Paramacrobiotus metropolitanus
Lineage: Eukaryota; Metazoa; Tardigrada; Eutardigrada; Parachela; Macrobiotidae
Exons: 6
Source: RefSeq, a predicted model, not a curated record
UACGUAGCGUGUAUAAUUGUUAGUUACACCGUGUCGAUGCGUGAUCGUGAUAUCAGUCUUCACUCUUCGGAUUGAGUAUUUUAGAAACACCACGUUCGUCUUCGUAAUUAGUAUCCCGUAUUUUUGCUAUUACCAAACACCGGCGUUCACUGGCUUCUGAGUUACGAAUUUGUGAUCAUUCUGCGCGUGCAUUGUCACAAUCGAAGUGGCUGAAGACGAAGUAUGAUUUCCUGUAUGGAAACUGUUCCAUUUUACGAUGAUCUGCGCCCAUAGUGCACUCUUUUUACUUGAAUUAGAACAGUUAAUGAUACUGGUGGAUUUUCAUUUAGUCAAGUGAAGUUUGAAUAUAUAAGUGAUUUGUGUACUUAAUCAUGGAAGCGUUUAAAGUUCUAACCAGAGUCAGGCCACUCUGUGAGCGUGAUAUGGAUAUGCACAAUAAGAGCAUUCUCACGGUGGAUCAGCACAGCCACGAAGUACUUGUGCCGGGCUAAUGGCAAGGAUAGCGACCUGCGUCGAUUUGCGUAUGGCGGAGUUUAUGAUCCCCAGGAGACAGCGGCCAGCAUCUUCACCGAGAGCAUCGUGGAUCUCCUUAAGGGUGCUCUAAAUGGACACGAGUAGUCGAGUAUAACUGUGCCGUGUUCGCUUACAGCCAAACCGGAAGUUGUAUGACCUGCACCAUGCACGGAUCGCAGGAGUUCGGGCGGAUAAAGGUAUGGAGGUUCGUGCCAUCGUUAGCUCUUUGGACAGACGGAACAGCAGCCCGACGGUUGCCGCUCUUUGGUGCCUGGAGAUCUACACAGAUAGAUCUCUCUGAUGUCAACAAAAAUAUCUAAUUUCACUGUUGCACCGGCUCGUCAGAUCUAUCGAAGGUCCCAUUUCCCAGUGGUAUGGCGCUCGCUCGGUGCACUGAUGUGGUUAGGAACCACCGCUAGUAAUUGUUAACGUCGGUAAUAUGGAGCAAACGAAACACGUCACGUCGAAGCAGUACGAGUUAAUACAAAGCCAAGUUUGCGCAGCUAUGUAAACACAGAAGCAACCAAGCUAGUUCGAUCAAAAACUUCAAUACGGGAUACGGACUUCUAACUAGUAACUGCACCCCAUACUUCGAUGUGAUUCAGCAUCUGUAAACUAAGCAGAGCAUCUCAUUACCCGGGUGAACUUGACGGCCUCCGAUUCCUGCCCGUGGAAAUUAUGGCCGAGGUCUUCCAGUACCUGCGCACCGUUGACCGUCUGCGGGCGGUGUGCGCCGGUUGGAACUGCAUCCUCACAUCGGCCGCAGUACACACAUCAGACUUUCAUCUCAAAGGGAUCUUCAGCUCGGCGAUGCUUUCGCUUAUCGUCCGGUGGCACGAACUAUGUCCCGGAUGUAUGUGCGCAUAACUGUCGCGGAAACCGCAAUGUAGCCGUUAUCUGCUCCCGCUCGAGGCACAAAAGAGAUACCUUUGAUUUACUAUUUUUUAAUCACUUCUUCCUGCGUGAGAGCAUGCCGGGAGGAGCCGAACAGAAAGUGUUCUUGGAUAAUCUUGUACUGAAAUAAGUUGCAUGCUGCAGUAUACCGUUUGACGACGAUUACAUUGCCGCUCUUCACAACGCCUUUGACUCGCUGGCGGCGAUUUGUCACAACCUGACCGUGAAGAACUGCAUGUUCCAGGCUACAACGUCUCACCCUGAUGGCUGCGUACUGAUGACGAUACGAAUUCCUUUCGGAAAAAUGAGUCACGAACGGCGUCUCACUGUCACUGACUGGUGGGACAUGAUCGAGCAAAGCUUCCCGCUGUUGGACGAUCAACAAAAGAAUCGUCUCUCCGAUGUUUUGAGUGGCCGCCAACGACUAUAUAAUAAUUUCUUUGUUUAUAAAGACCUACGGAAGAUCCUACGUGGGCGCCAGCAUGGGGAUCCUCGGAAGAGUUGCAUUGACUUGCAGCCGUUAAGUGAUCAACUGGAGUCUUCCGAUGUGAGCCAGCUGUCGCGAAUGGUGCAGUAUAUGAUGUACUGUCGCAUAAACAAAACACAUAUCGACGUUGAGAUGGCAUGGCUCACUUUUUAAUGCUUUCCCUCCUGUUAAACACUUUUAUAGAAGAACUGCGCUUCCGGCGUCGGCAACGUGUUUCCUGUUUUCUUGGAUUCCUCUGUUAUGUAAACUUGAUAGCGAUAUUCAUACAUGUAUAAUGUCCAAAAUCAUUUUUAGCAUCUUUGUUCCCUUUGCUACGAUAGGCAACGCUAACUGCUGGCAUCAACAAUGGUGCAGUAUUUCCUUGAUAAUAACAACGUUACAAAACGUCAAGCAAUACGACGUUCGCCUUCAUUGAGACGCAUGAUUAGUUAACAACACUGUGCAGUGACAGGCGCUA